AACUAUUUAUUGUAUAAAAGGAGAGGAUGGGAUUUAUAAAUUAUAAAGUCAGAAAACCAUAUUACAUUUCUAACAGGGAAAAAACAUGGUUCAAAUUGUCAAGUAUUUUUAUGUUAUACUUAUAUUUCUCUCCCUAUUUGUUGUUGCAAUGAAUGGUGAUUACCUAUUUGAAUGUACUAGUGAUCAUGAUUGUGAAGAUGUAGGGUACUGCCCGGAUACUUUUGUAGCAAAGUGUUUUGUUAGUUUUGCUUUAUCCCAGUUCCUCUCAAAAGGAAAAUGUUUAUGUGUUUGAGUGAUGAACCCAAUUGAUUCUAUUAUAAAAUUUCAUAAGCUAUCAUUUAUUUACUGUAUUGGUGUUGAAUUUGAUUGAACUUAUUAUUGGAAUAUGAAUAUCUUUUUCUUUUUUUG
Long non-coding RNA from Medicago truncatula (barrel medic), 408 nucleotides. RefSeq lists it as uncharacterized. NCBI's taxonomy places the organism in Eukaryota, Viridiplantae, Streptophyta, Magnoliopsida, Fabales, Fabaceae. The record is from RefSeq and is a predicted model, not a curated record. The transcript is spliced from 2 exons.